CAGCAGUGGGGAAUCUUGGACAAUGGGGGCAACCCUGAUCCAGCAAUGCCGCGUGUGGGAAGAAGGCCUUCGGGUUGUAAACCACUUUUGGCAGGGAAGAAAUUGGCCGGGUUAAUACCCUGGCUGGAUGACGGUACCUGCAGAAUAAGCACCGGCUAACUACGUG
RNAcentral lists this ribosomal RNA (166 nucleotides) under uncultured bacterium. RNAcentral describes it as "partial 16S ribosomal RNA". It matches the Rfam family "Bacterial small subunit ribosomal RNA", at positions 349 to 507 of the family's 1533-position model. The record is from RNAcentral.